RNAcentral lists this ribosomal RNA (419 nucleotides) under uncultured bacterium. Its description in RNAcentral is "bacterial SSU rRNA". It matches the Rfam family "Bacterial small subunit ribosomal RNA", at positions 90 to 524 of the family's 1533-position model. The record is from RNAcentral.
CUCGAGUGGCGAACGGGUGAGUAACACGUGGGUGAUCUGCCCUGCACUUCGGGAUAAGCCUGGGAAACUGGGUCUAAUACCGGAUAGGACCAUCGUUUAGUGUCGGUGGUGGAAAGUUUUUUCGGUGUGGGAUGAGCUCGCGGCCUAUCAGCUUGUUGGUGGGGUAAUGGCCUACCAAGGCGUCGACGGGUAGCCGGCCUGAGAGGGUGUACGGCCACAUUGGGACUGAGAUACGGCCCAGACUCCUACGGGAGGCAGCAGUGGGGAAUAUUGCACAAUGGGCGCAAGCCUGAUGCAGCGACGCCGCGUGGGGGAUGACGGCCUUCGGGUUGUAAACUCCUUUCGCCAGGGACGAAGCGUUAUGUGACGGUACCUGGAUAAGAAGCACCGGCUAACUACGUGCCAGCAGCCGCGGUAAU